UGCUAUUUUUAAAUUUUCUGUUUUUGUUCUACAUCUUUGUUUUAAAUGAUAAAAUGCAAGUAUUAUGAAAAAGGCCUAGAAAUGAUAAAUGCUUAAAAUAAAUGUUACAAACAAAUAUGGCUAUUGGUUCUCUGAUAUUUUACCCCCGCACGUUAUCAGCUACAAAACGAAAUCAGUGCGGAUAAGUGUCUGUAUCUUCGCGGUUUUAGUGGACGAUAAGAGAAAAUUUAGAUAAAAGCAGCAGAGUCGACAUGGCUG
This is a long non-coding RNA of Drosophila guanche, 258 nucleotides long. RefSeq lists it as uncharacterized. NCBI's taxonomy places the organism in Eukaryota, Metazoa, Arthropoda, Insecta, Diptera, Drosophilidae. The transcript is spliced from 3 exons. The record is from RefSeq and is a predicted model, not a curated record.